AACGUACGCUGGCGGCACGCCUAACACAUGCAAGUCGAACGAAGUAGCAAUACUUAGUGGCAGACGGGUGAGUAACAUGUAGGUAUCUGCCCUUUGGCCUGGAAUAACACGAGGAAACUUGUGCUAAUACCGGAUAAGUCUUUACGGAGAAAGCUUUAUGCACCAUUGGAUGAGCCUGCACUUGAUUAGUUUGUUGGUGGGGUAAUGGCCUACCAAGACUGUGAUCAAUAGCUGAUUUGAGAGGAUGAUCAGCCACAUUGGGACUGAGACACGGCCCAAACUCCUACGGGAGGCAGCAGUGGGGAAUCUUGCACAAUGGAGGAAACUCUGAUGCAGCGAUGCCGCGUGAGUGAAGAAGGCCCUUGGGUUGUAAAGCUCUUUCGUCGGGGAAGAAAAUGACUGUACCCGAAUAAGAAGGUCCGGCUAACUUCGUGCCAGCAGCCGCGGUAAUACGAAGGGACCUAGCGUAGUUCGGAAUUACUGGGCUUAAAGAGUUCGUAGGUGGUUGAAAAAGUUAGUGGUGAAAUCCCAGAGCUUAACUCUGGAACUGCCAUUAAAACUUUUCAGCUAGAGUAUGAUAGAGGAAAGCAGAAUUUCUAGUGUAGAGGUGAAAUUCGUAGAUAUUAGAAAGAAUACCAAUUGCGAAGGCAGCUUUCUGGAUCAUUACUGACACUGAGGAACGAAAGCAUGGGUAGCGAAGAGGAUUAGAUACCCUCGUAGUCCAUGCCGUAAACGAUGUGUGUUAGACGUUGGAAAUUUAUUUUCAGUGUCGCAGGGAAACCGAUAAACACACCGCCUGGGGAGUACGACCGCAAGGUUAAAACUCAAAUGAAUUGACGGGGACCCGCACAAGUAGUGGAGCAUGUGGUUUAAUUCGAAGAUACGCGCAGAACCUUACCAACACUUGACAUGUUCGUCGCGACUCUAAGAGAUUAGAGUUUUCGGUUCGGCCGGACGAAACACAGGUGCUGCAUGGCUGUCGUCAGCUCGUGUCGUGAGAUGUUGGGUUAAGUCCCGCAACGAGCGCAACCCUCACUUUUAGUUGCCAUCAUUAAGUUGGGCACUCUGAAAGAACUGCCAGUGAUAAGCUGGAGGAAGGUGGGGAUGACGUCAAGUCCUCAUGGCCCUUACGUGUUGGGCUACACACGUGCUACAAUGGUAUCUACAACAGGAAGCAAGACUGCGAAGUUAAGCAAAUCCCUAAAAGAUACCUCAGUUCGGAUUGCACUCUGCAACUCGAGUGCAUGAAGCUGGAAUUACUAGUAAUCGUGGAUCAGCGUGCCACGGUAAAUGCGUUUCCCGGGUCU
This 1307-nucleotide ribosomal RNA is filed under the name uncultured bacterium. RNAcentral describes it as "bacterial SSU rRNA". It matches the Rfam family "Bacterial small subunit ribosomal RNA", at positions 28 to 1381 of the family's 1533-position model. The record is from RNAcentral.